Corvus moneduloides (New Caledonian crow) is the source of this 3346-nucleotide long non-coding RNA. Lineage: Eukaryota; Metazoa; Chordata; Aves; Passeriformes; Corvidae. The record is from Ensembl.
AUGUUACUGUCAAAUAAUCUUUUUUGCUACAUGGUUUUUUUUUUUUUAAUAGUGAUAGGCUUUACUCCUGUAGAAACUGAAAAGAAAAUCACUUGCUUUAGGCCAGAAAAUAAUUGCCUGGCUGAAAUAAAUGAUCAAACCUGCAAAGAACUUCAUUUUUUAGCUUCAACCAGCAUAGUUCCACAGAAUUCACAGCAAACACCUACAAAUAAAAAUUGGGAUGUGUUUUUCGUCCCUUUACUUCUACUGUUUCUUACCAACAGAGAGAAAAUCAGCCCUUGUUUUGGUGGGAAUGUCCUUGGGAGCUCAGAAACUCUCAGUCGUGAAACAACAAGCCAAGCUGUUGACAAAUGCAUGAUUUGCCCCUGCAUGAUGAACCAUGGGGCAGCUCAUGGGUUAAGCACUGCCUGCUGGCAACGGCACAGGAAGCAGCCAGAGCCACGGACAACAGCAGCCUCUUCACCUUGGACCAAGGAGUACCAUGGAGCCCAGGUGGGUCUUUUCAGUUUCAGUGAAUAUUGCUACAAUUUUUGUUGUAAGAAAUCUGUCUGCAACUAGGCCUACAUAUUUUUUUAGCAGAGACAAAUAGGACUGCAGCAAAGGACUUCCUUGCUAGAAUUUGCAACAGUUGUGCACCCAGCUUGUCUCAUUCACAAAGCACCCACUUCCAUUAACAGGGAGUGUAACAUAGUUGUGUGCCUGCAUGGUCUCUUGCUAUUUAAUCUGUCCCUGCACCUGUCAUACAGUGCAGACAGGCCUGAGUCACUUGGCUGUCAUUGCAGGACUUAAACUGUCCUGCAUACCUUGGAAUCAGAAACUCAGAGUGGUUUCAGUUUAGGAUUUGGUUCAGGCCAUUACCUACACAAACACCAGCCCUUAAAUUCACACGAUAAACUUCCUUCAACACUUGCAGGUUUGUCAGAUUGUUUGAUCCUGUUUCACAAAACCUGGAAGAAUAAGGUCAGAUAAGAAGGCAGGGAAGCGAUGACCAGCCGAAGAGACUAGGGACUGGUCAAACAACAUAAAAUGGGCAGGAAAGGGACAAUAUCCCUAGAGCAAGUUUGAAGAAAAAAAAAAAAAAAAAGUAGAAGAAAGUAGAAAUUUGGGUGCACCACUGAGUAUGAAGAAAUGGCACAAUGAUGUUUGGGUUCGAUCAGAAGAAUUAUGAUGUAAAAAAUGAAUCUGUUGGAGCAGGUCCAGAAGAAGGUCACAGAAAUGACAAGAGGGGUGAAGCAUCUCUCCUAUGAGGAAAGGAUGAGAAAGUUGGAGUUGUUCAGCCUGGAGAAGAAGGCUCUGGGAAGACCUUGUUGCAGCCUUUCAGUACCUAAAGGGGACUUAAAAGAAACAUGGGGACAGACUUUUUAAUAGGACUCGUAGCAACAGGACAAGGGGUAAUGGUUUUAAACUAAAAGAGGGUAGAGUCAGACUACAUACAAAGAUGAAUUUUUUUAUGAUGAGGGUGACAAACACUAGCCCAGGUUGCCCAGAGAGGUGAUGGAUGCCCCGUCCCUGGGAACAUUCAGGGUCGGGUUUCAUGGGGCUCUGAGUAACCUGGUCUAGUUGAAGAUGCCCCUGCUUAUUGCAGGAGAGUUGGACUAGAUGGCCUUUAAAGGUCCUUUCCAAACCAGACCAUUCUGAUUCUAGAAGGGUACCAAGCAGAAGGAGCCAUUAAAGUCAAUGGAAGAUGUUUCUAUUAAUACAAGAUAAGUAAAGGAAAAGACAAGUAUAUAUGAGGGACAAACACAAAUAUGUAUGUAUUUUUAUAAUAUAUAUGUUUAUAUAACAUAUGUUUAUAUGGUAUAUAAGUAUUUUUAUAUUUCUAUAAAGAUAACUGAAAUAUUUCCUGUUGGUUUUUAUUCCAGUCUUUAGAACCAGAAUUGUUAACCAGCAACUAACAAAAUCAUUUUUAACAAUAGGAUGGGGGCAUAGAGGAACAUAGAUCAGCAAAGGCUAACAGAUAUUUAAAAAAAAUACAUGUACUCCAGCGGAUUUAGUUACAGCAAUUUGUGAAUUAUUGCUGCUAAUGUUUCAGGAAUUAUAAUGAAUUGGGGUAAAACAGACAUAACAUUUUGUUUUGUGAAAAAGAGGAGUCAAAUUGAAUUUCUAAACUAAAGUAUUUUACAUCUAUGCACAAUCUAUUCAGUGUUUGAAACUUGCAAGUGGAUUUUUCUAACGUGAACUUCUGAGUACAAUAAUUAUUACUCUGUAUAUCUGUUUCAGUUGAAGGAAACCAUGAAAGUGUUCUGUAAAUUACAAAUAACUUUACUUUUGUCAUUAUCAGAUGACUCCUCUUAUAAAUCUAUUGUCAAAGAAGGAAGUCGGCAACAUUUUUUUUCAGAAUCCACAUAAACAAAAGACUAAUUAGUCAUCAAUGACCAAUUUUUCCUAACAUGGAUAUGCAACUAUUUGCAGUCUUGGUAAAUCAUUCCAUUUGCUCCAACUUUUGAUAUUCUGGGAAAUCCAUGUUCUUUCCAACCUUUUCAUUUCAGGUUUUUAUUACUUUGGAAUUCUUAGUUGAUGCCUGUGCAUAGGAAGGACAACUUGAGACGAAGGGCAAGGAAGGGAGGUAGGUUAAUAGGCACAGUUUGUCCAAUAUCAUAGAAUCGUGGAAUGGUUUGGAUGGAAGGGACCUUAAAGACCAUCUUGUUCUAACCCGUGGGCAGGAACACUUUCCACUGUCCCAGGUUGCUCAGAGCCCCAUCCAGCCUGGCCUUGAACACUUUUAGGGAUGGGGCAUACACAGCUUCUCUGGGCAACCUGUGCCAGUACCUCACCACCCUCACAGUAAAGAAUUUCCUUCUAACAUCUAGUCUAAAUUUUUCAGUUUGGGGCCAUUCCCCCUUAUUUUAUCACAUGUCCUACAUGCCCUUGUAAAAAGUUUCUCACCAUCUUUCUUUUAGGCUCCCUCCAGGUACUGGAAGGCAGCAAUUAGGUCACCCUGGAGCCCCCUCUUCUCCAAGCUGGAAAAAAAAACAAUUCUCUCAGCCUUUCCUCACAGGAGAGGUGCUCCAUCCCUCUAAUCAUCUUGGAAACCUUCCUCUGGGCUCACUCCAAAGGUCCAUGUCCUUCGUGUGCUGAGGACCCCAGAUCUGGAUGUAGCACUGGAGGUGGGGUCUCAACAGAGGGAAGUGAAGGGGUAGGAUCCCCUCUCUCACCCUGCUGGCCAUGCUGCUUUGGAUGCAGACCAGGAUGUGUUUGGCUCUCUGGGCUCCAAAUGUUCCUGUCCAGCCUCUCAUCCACCAGCAGCCCCAGGUCCUUCUCAGCAGGGCUGCUCUGAUCUGUUCAUCCCCACCCUCUGUUGAUACCAGAGGCUGCCCUGGCCCAGGUGCAGCACCUUGCACUUGGU